This 468-nucleotide ribosomal RNA is filed under the name uncultured bacterium. RNAcentral's name for it is "partial 16S ribosomal RNA". It matches the Rfam family "Bacterial small subunit ribosomal RNA", at positions 28 to 507 of the family's 1533-position model. The record is from RNAcentral.
GACGAACGCUGGCGGCGUGCUUAACACAUGCAAGUCGAACGGAAAGGCCCUGCCUUUGUGGGGUGCUCGAGUGGCGAACGGGUGAGUAACACGUGAGUAACCUGCCCUUGACUUUGGGAUAACUUCAGGAAACUGGGGCUAAUACCGGAUAGGAGCUCCUGCUGCAUGGUGGGGGUUGGAAAGUUUCGGCGGUUGGGGAUGGACUCGCGGCUUAUCAGCUUGUUGGAGGGGUAGUGGCUUACCAAGGCCUUGACGGGUAGCCGGGCUGAGAGGGUGACCGGCCACAUUGGGACUGAGAUACGGCCCAGACUCCUACGGGAGGCAGCAGUGGGGAAUAUUGCACAAUGGGCGGAAGCCUGAUGCAGCAACGCCGCGUGCGGGAUGACGGCCUUCGGGUUGUGAACCGCUUUCGCCUGUGACGAAGCGUGAGUGACGGUAAUGGGUAAAGAAGCACCGGCUAACUACGUG